RNAcentral lists this ribosomal RNA (253 nucleotides) under uncultured bacterium. RNAcentral's name for it is "partial 16S ribosomal RNA". It matches the Rfam family "Bacterial small subunit ribosomal RNA", at positions 524 to 776 of the family's 1533-position model. The record is from RNAcentral.
UACGUAGGGGGCUAGCGUUGUCCGGAAUCAUUGGGCGUAAAGAGCGUGUAGGCGGCCCGGUAAGUCCGCUGUGAAAGUCGGGGGCUCAACCCUCGAAUGCCGGUGGAUACUGCAGGGCUAGAGUACGGAAGAGGCGAGUGGAAUUCCUGGUGUAGCGGUGGAAUGCGCAGAUAUCAGGAGGAACACCGGUGGCGAAGGCGGGUCUCUGGGCCGAUACUGACGCUGAGGAGCGAAAGCGUGGGGAGCGAACAGG